This 156-nucleotide unclassified non-coding RNA is filed under the name uncultured Hymenoscyphus. RNAcentral describes it as "sequence contains ITS1". The record is from RNAcentral. Lineage: Eukaryota; Fungi; Ascomycota; Leotiomycetes; Helotiales; Helotiaceae.
CAGAGUUCCUGCCCUCACGGGUAGAAACCCCACCCUUGUGUAUAUUAUAUUGUUGCUUUAGCAGGCCGCCUUCGGGCGUUGGCUCACGCUGACCGUGCCUGCUAGAGGACCCUAAACUCUGAAAUACAGUGUCGUCUGAGUACUAUUUAAUAGUUA